RNAcentral lists this ribosomal RNA (2900 nucleotides) under Aureliella helgolandensis. RNAcentral describes it as "Planctomycetes bacterium Q31a 23S ribosomal RNA". It matches the Rfam family "Bacterial large subunit ribosomal RNA". The record is from RNAcentral. Lineage: Bacteria; Pseudomonadati; Planctomycetota; Planctomycetia; Pirellulales; Pirellulaceae.
UCAAGUUACUAAGGGCGCACGGGGGAUGUCUUGGCAUUAGAAGGCGAUGAAGGGCGUGGAAGUCUGCGAAAAGCUUGGGGGAGCUGACAAACGAGUGUUAAUCCCGAGAUACCCGAAUUAGCUUGUACUGAAUACAUAGGUACUUGUGGCCAACCCAGGGAACUGAAACAUCUAAGUACCUGGAGGAAUAGAAAGAAAAAUCGAUUCCGUAAGUAGCGGCGAGCGAAAGCGGAAUAGCCCAAACCGCAUGGGUUUCCCAGGCGGGGUUGUAGGGUCUUUCACAUGGGAGUUACAAAAUUCAAACUAGCGAAAGUGUCCUGGAUACGGCACACCACAGAGGGUGACAGUCCCGUACGCAAAAGUUUAGAAUCUCCCGAAGGAUACCUGAGUAGGUCGGAGCACGUGAAACUCCGACUGAAUCGACGGGGACCAUCCCGUAAGGCUAAAUACUCUCUAAUGACCGAUAGCGAACUAAGUAGAGCGAUCGAAAGGUGGGAAGAACCCCGGCUAGGGGAGGACACUGAACCUGAAACCGUGCGCUUACAAGCGGUCGGAGCACGAUUUAACGUGUGACGGCGUGCCUUUAGCAUAAUGAUCCGGCGAGUUACCGUUCAUGGCUCGGUUAAGCCUCUCAGGGGCGAAGCCAUAGGGAAACCGAGUCUUAAUAGGGCGACCAUUGUCAUGGGCGGUAGACGCGAAACCUGGUGAUCUACCCAUGAGCAGGUUGAAGCGCGGGUUAAACUGCGUGGAGGACCGAACCCACUUGGGUUGAAAACCGAGGGGAUGACUUGUGGGGAGGAGUGAAAGUCUAAUCAAACCAGGAGAUAGCUCGUUCUCUCCGAAAUAUAUUUAGGUAUAGCCUCGAGCAACUAUUCAUUGGGGGUAGAGAGACUGAAUUGGAUGGGGGCCCUUUCCAGGGUACCCCACUGAACCAAACUCCGAAUACCAUUGAAACUAUCUCGGGAGUCAGUCUGCGGGGGAUAAGCUCCGUGGUCAAGAGGGAAACAACCCAGAUCGUCGGCUAAGGUCCCUAAACUAUGCUCAGUCACUAAGGAAGUUGAAUCUCCGUGACAGCCAGGAUGUUGGCUUAGAAGCAGCCACCAUUUAAAAAGUGCGUAACAGCUUACUGGUCGAGAGAUUCUGCGCCGAUAAUGAACGGGAGUAAGCAUAGUACCGAAGCCGCGAACUCAGAUAAUCUUCGGAUGGUCUGUUUGGUAGGAGAGCGCUGUAGAGGAUAUACAAGCCAUACCGUAAGGAGUGGUGUCGGCCUCUACAGGUGAUUAUGCCGGAAUGAGUAACGAUAAAACAGGUGAGAAUCCUGUUCGCCGAAAGCCUAAGGUUUCCUGGGGAAGGUAAAUCCGCCCAGGGUUAGCCGGUGCCUAAGACGAGGCCGAAAGGCGUAGUCGAUGGACAGAAGGUUAAUAUUCCUUCGCCAUGUGUGUGGAGCGAUGGAGGGACGGCGUCCGAAAAGCAUGCGGACUGAUAGAAUAGUCCGUUGCUUGGCUACAAGAAUGGUAGUAGGAAAAUCCGCUACAGUAGGUUCAAGUAGCCGAGCUAACAGCACCUAAGAUCUGGAUGAUGUUGGCAGGACGUCCAAGAAAAACUUCUAAGUGUUGAAGCACACGUGACCGUACUAAAACUGACACAGGUAGGCGAGAUGAGAAGUCUCAGGCGCUCGGGAGAACGGUGAUUAAGGAACUCUGCAAAAUGGCCCCGUAAGUUCGCGAUAAGGGGCGCCUACGCAAGUAGGCCACAGAAAAUCGGCUCUAACGACUGUUUAUCAAAAACACAGGACGCUGCUAACACGUAAGUGGAUGUAUAGCGUCUGACGCCUGCCCGGUGCUGGUAGGUUAAGGAAGGCGGUUAGCUCUUCGGAGCGAAGCUGGCGACCGAAGCCCCAGUAAACGGCGGCCCUAACUAUGAGGGUCCUAAGGUAGCGAAGUUCCUUGUCGGGUAAGUUCCGACCUGCAUGAAAGGCGUAACGAUUGGAGCACUGUCUCAAUCACCGACCCGGUGAAAUUGUAGUCGUGGUGAAGAUGCCACGUACCCGCGGUUAGACGGAAAGACCCCAUGAACCUUCACUGUAGGCUGAUAUUGGGUUGAGGUACAUCUUGUGUAGUAUAGCUGGGAGGCUUUGAUCUGGGCGCGCUAGCGUUCAAGGAGCCAUCGUUGAAAUACCAGCCUGGAUUUACUUUAAUUCUAACCCUGUACCGUGAAACCGGUCAGGGAACAGUGUCAGUUGGGCAGUUUGACUGGGGCGGUCUCCUCCUAAAAAGUAACGGAGGAGUACAAAGGUCCACUCAGCCUGGUCGGCAAUCAGGCGAAGAGCGUAAAGGUAGAAGUGGGCUUAACUGCGAGACAAAUAAGUCGAGCAGAUACGAAAGUAGGUCUUAGUGAUCCGGUGAUUCCGAAUGGAAGGGUCAUCGCUCAUCAGAUAAAAGGUACUCUGGGGAUAACAGGCUUAUCGCAUCCGAGCGUCCACAGCGGCGAUGCGGUUUGGCACCUCGAUGUCGGCUCAUCACAUCCUGGGGGUGAAGAAGCUCCCAAGGGUUUGGCUGUUCGCCAAUGAAAGUGGUACGUGAGCUGGGUUCAGACCGUCGUGAGACAGGUCGGUCCCUAUCUGCCGCGGGCGUUCGAAACUUGAGGAGGUUCAACUUUAGUACGAGAGGAUUUGGUUGGACGAAGCUCUGGUGUACCAGUUGUCACGCUAGUGGCACGGCUGGAUAGCUAACUUCGGAAAGGAUAAACGCUGAAAGCAUCUAAGCGUGAAGCCCUCUCCUAGAUUAGGUUUCGUAAGUACUUUGUACGUAAGUCCCCAAGAAGAUUACUUGGUUGAUAGGCCAGAUGUGUAAGCACGGUAACGUGUUCAGCUAACUGGUACUAACGGACGAAUACUUGAC